AGAGUUAAACAGUACGUGAAAUUGUUGAAAGGGAAACGAUUGAAGCCAGUCGUACCGACGGGAAAUCAACUUCUCGGGUGCCCACCGCGGGUGAUGUUGAGCCUCACGGUCUUCGUCGCUUGUGUUUGUUGGUUCCUUUGGGGUGUACUUUCUCGUAUGGUAGGUCAACAUCGAUUUCGAACGUCAUAAAAUGAUCGGAGGAAUGUGGCUUCGUUCUUGUAUCGGAGUGUUAUAGCCUUUGGUAGAUGUGACGAUUGGGAUCGAGGAUUGCAACGAAUACCCUUCGGGCUAUCCGUCUGACCUCUGAAAGUUGCUAGGGUGUUGAAAGCGUGCUUAUAACGUUCUAGUUGGCGGUCAAUAGGUUAGAACGCGAUUACAUUCGUUAAGGAUGUUGACGUAAUGGCUUUAAACGACC
Molecule: ribosomal RNA, 415 nt
Filed under: Nanoglomus plukenetiae
Lineage: Eukaryota; Fungi; Glomeromycota; Glomeromycetes; Glomerales; Glomeraceae
Description: partial large subunit ribosomal RNA
Source: RNAcentral